RNAcentral lists this long non-coding RNA (340 nucleotides) under Gallus gallus (chicken). RNAcentral's name for it is "long non-coding RNA NONGGAT004238". The record is from RNAcentral. Lineage: Eukaryota; Metazoa; Chordata; Aves; Galliformes; Phasianidae.
CAGCAAGACCCGAAAAGCUGCCGGGCUGCGCAGCGGGCCGCUGGCGGGCGGGUCGUCCGCCGUUGUAAAUCGCUGCGGAGCGGCGUCGGCGUGGUCAGCAGAGCGGUUUGGUCAGGCCGUGGUCUGGAGAGGCAGCUCCUCCCUUAAAAUGAAGGUGAUGAAACCGUAGGCAACGCACAGGCACGCGGAAAUAUCUGAAGCCGAGAGAGAGUCGGAGCAGACCUUUAUCUCUUCGUUUCCUUAUCUUUGUCGUUACAGAGCAAGUUGGAAUUCAUUUUGCACUAUUAAAACAGUGUGAUCAGGUCAUCAGCACAGAACCCAGCGUAACAGAUCCUUCCCA